Molecule: long non-coding RNA, 1150 nt
Filed under: Heterocephalus glaber (naked mole-rat)
Lineage: Eukaryota; Metazoa; Chordata; Mammalia; Rodentia; Bathyergidae
Description: lncRNA (ENSHGLG00100037710.1)
Source: RNAcentral
UGAAAGUGUUGCAGUACAAUUUAAAGACUACACUCUUGUUGGAAGCAGACACCUGCAAUUAAUUUAGAUCCCGAGAAUUUAUAAUGAAACUGAAGAAAAAAAAACUAGAGAAGUUCAUAAACUGAUGGAUGAAUGACCUACUUCACCAGCCAAAAGACCAGAUGUUGGUGUAAAAACUGCUUGAGAAGCAUCUGUGAGAGAUACCGCGCUGUCCGUCUCCCAGGAAGGAAGUUCGUAUCUCUUGUGCGUGUUCUAAUUUUAAAAUUAACACAGGACUCCAAAAAUUCAACUGAGAAAUGGGAAUGAUCUUCCAGGUCCAAUGAUAUUAGUGUCUGGACCAAAGUCACAGCUACUGGCUUCCUGAAGACAGUGAUAUACAGACUGGGUCUCCACCAUGUGCAUGAGCUAGGAAAGGGCAGAAGAAAGAACUGGAGGAGAAUUGGUCCCGAUAGAAGGGAAGAGAUGUGAGAAGGAUAGAAGAAAUUGUGACUGGGGCAGGCCCACUGACCUCCAGUGGAGCCACGGGCAGAGCACCCAAGACUGACUGAGCCCUGCUGUGUCCGGCUGGCUACACCUCCUUGAGACCAAGAGCUGAUAAGGAUCCCCCAGGCAGGCCCACCAGCCGCCUGUGGAGUUGCGUGGGCACCUACAACAACAGACCCCCCCCCCAACCGCCUCUGGCCUCUUGGCUGUGCAGCUACCUGGUUCCACACUGCAGAGGCACAGGGGACAUAAAGGCCACUGUCCUGAGCUGCAGAAGUGAACGAGAGAGAGAGAGAGAGAGGGCCUCUCUCAGGCUUCCUGAUGAAAACUGAAGCCCACUGGAAACGUGAAGAGAAUCUCUGCAGUAAAGGCACACCAGACCACCAUACUUGGAGGACAUGGAGCUCAACUUGGGACUUGAAGCCAGAAAUCUGCCUGAAUCUCACAGAAAGAGCAAGAAUCUGUGCCUGGAAAACAGACCACAGACCCACAGGGAUGAGUACAUUGGAAGCAUUGGAGUGGAGUAAACAUCUUCAAGUUUCAAGUAGUGGAUUAAGAGCAGCAGCAGAAAAGCCAUAAAAACCCAGAUGAUGAAGACUCUUUAAAGGGUAACCUUCAAACAAUCAUUGCAAAGACUUGAGAUUUUCAUUACUACUUUUUAAUUCCC